UACGAAGGGGGCUAGCGUUGCUCGGAAUCACUGGGCGUAAAGCGCACGUAGGCGGAUUGCUAAGUCAGGGGUGAAAUCCUGGAGCUCAACUCCAGAACUGCCUUUGAUACUGGCAACCUUGAGUCCGGGAGAGGUGAGUGGAACUGCGAGUGUAGAGGUGAAAUUCGUAGAUAUUCGCAAGAACACCAGUGGCGAAGGCGGCUUACUGGUCCGGUUCUGACGCUGAGGCGCGAAAGCGUGGGGAGCAAACAGG
RNAcentral lists this ribosomal RNA (253 nucleotides) under uncultured bacterium. RNAcentral describes it as "partial 16S ribosomal RNA". It matches the Rfam family "Bacterial small subunit ribosomal RNA", at positions 524 to 776 of the family's 1533-position model. The record is from RNAcentral.